This 1447-nucleotide ribosomal RNA is filed under the name Limosilactobacillus fermentum. RNAcentral describes it as "bacterial SSU rRNA". It matches the Rfam family "Bacterial small subunit ribosomal RNA". The record is from RNAcentral. Lineage: Bacteria; Bacillati; Bacillota; Bacilli; Lactobacillales; Lactobacillaceae.
UGCAGUCGAACGCGUUGGCCCAAUUGAUUGAUGGUGCUUGCACCUGAUUGAUUUUGGUCGCCAACGAGUGGCGGACGGGUGAGUAACACGUAGGUAACCUGCCCAGAAGCGGGGGACAACAUUUGGAAACAGAUGCUAAUACCGCAUAACAGCGUUGUUCGCAUGAACAACGCUUAAAAGAUGGCUUCUCGCUAUCACUUCUGGAUGGACCUGCGGUGCAUUAGCUUGUUGGUGGGGUAACGGCCUACCAAGGCGAUGAUGCAUAGCCGAGUUGAGAGACUGAUCGGCCACAAUGGGACUGAGACACGGCCCAUACUCCUACGGGAGGCAGCAGUAGGGAAUCUUCCACAAUGGGCGCAAGCCUGAUGGAGCAACACCGCGUGAGUGAAGAAGGGUUUCGGCUCGUAAAGCUCUGUUGUUAAAGAAGAACACGUAUGAGAGUAACUGUUCAUACGUUGACGGUAUUUAACCAGAAAGUCACGGCUAACUACGUGCCAGCAGCCGCGGUAAUACGUAGGUGGCAAGCGUUAUCCGGAUUUAUUGGGCGUAAAGAGAGUGCAGGCGGUUUUCUAAGUCUGAUGUGAAAGCCUUCGGCUUAACCGGAGAAGUGCAUCGGAAACUGGAUAACUUGAGUGCAGAAGAGGGUAGUGGAACUCCAUGUGUAGCGGUGGAAUGCGUAGAUAUAUGGAAGAACACCAGUGGCGAAGGCGGCUACCUGGUCUGCAACUGACGCUGAGACUCGAAAGCAUGGGUAGCGAACAGGAUUAGAUACCCUGGUAGUCCAUGCCGUAAACGAUGAGUGCUAGGUGUUGGAGGGUUUCCGCCCUUCAGUGCCGGAGCUAACGCAUUAAGCACUCCGCCUGGGGAGUACGACCGCAAGGUUGAAACUCAAAGGAAUUGACGGGGGCCCGCACAAGCGGUGGAGCAUGUGGUUUAAUUCGAAGCUACGCGAAGAACCUUACCAGGUCUUGACAUCUUGCGCCAACCCUAGAGAUAGGGCGUUUCCUUCGGGAACGCAAUGACAGGUGGUGCAUGGUCGUCGUCAGCUCGUGUCGUGAGAUGUUGGGUUAAGUCCCGCAACGAGCGCAACCCUUGUUACUAGUUGCCAGCAUUAAGUUGGGCACUCUAGUGAGACUGCCGGUGACAAACCGGAGGAAGGUGGGGACGACGUCAGAUCAUCAUGCCCCUUAUGACCUGGGCUACACACGUGCUACAAUGGACGGUACAACGAGUCGCGAACUCGCGAGGGCAAGCAAAUCUCUUAAAACCGUUCUCAGUUCGGACUGCAGGCUGCAACUCGCCUGCACGAAGUCGGAAUCGCUAGUAAUCGCGGAUCAGCAUGCCGCGGUGAAUACGUUCCCGGGCCUUGUACACACCGCCCGUCACACCAUGAGAGUUUGUAACACCCAAAGUCGGUGGGGUAACCUUUUAGGAGCCAGCCGCCUAA